Long non-coding RNA from Macaca mulatta (Rhesus monkey), 774 nucleotides. RefSeq lists it as uncharacterized. The record is from RefSeq and is a predicted model, not a curated record. NCBI's taxonomy places the organism in Eukaryota, Metazoa, Chordata, Mammalia, Primates, Cercopithecidae.
UGAAGUGUGGCGAGCACAGAGCCGCAGAAUCAUGCGCAUUGCCGGGGAGAAGGCGGUGUAGCGUCUCUGCUCGCUUCUCUCUCGGCUCACACUGCGUGGCAAGUUUCUGCAGUUCCCGAGAGGACCAUGCUGAUUCUAUGAUGGGGAAACCCAGGAGCCGGCGGCCCGGGAGAGCUGGGGAACGUCCUUCGCCGGAGAUCUUUUCAAAGAGGUCACGCGCCGCCUCCCCACCCCCACUCCCUCCGCACCCAGACACGUCCCCAGAGCAGCGCACCACCCCCUCCAAACGUGAUGCAGACCGGGGGAUGACUAAAAUGACCUCUCAAAGUCGCUCAGAUUUAGAGUGAGUCAUUGGCUCAGCUGCGAAGUGCCACAGACCCCUCAGGAACACUCGUGCACACACACUCCACCCCCGGUGCUGGUCACUGCUGCUCGUCAUUACUGAAUCCCGACACCGAGCAGUCAAAGUUGGGGCUUUUUCCCACUUCUCCUGAUAAAAGCUGCUUCCUCACGCACAUGGUUCCUCCCCUCCCCACCUUACUCGGAGCCCAGCCCCGUCUCUACCGCACGAAACCAAGAUGGGUUUGGGGGACGCUUUAGGAGUCUGGGAUGGUGGAGACCCAGGGAAAGGGAAGGGGCUUCUCGUCCUACAGAGGAAUGUAAAUAGGAAACUGGAAGGUCUUCAUAUGUUCCAGUCUCCCUACCCUAUCCUGUCUCUGUCCCCUCCCCCAAUACAGUUGUAUUUGCAGAAGAAAUAAAUGAGUGUCAUGGAAA